GGGGCCGAGUAGGUGGCAAGCUGUAGCCUUGUUUACGGGGCCGCUGCCCCCCCC
This 54-nucleotide transfer RNA is filed under the name Cyrtodactylus tigroides. RNAcentral describes it as "tRNA Tyr". Lineage: Eukaryota; Metazoa; Chordata; Lepidosauria; Squamata; Gekkonidae. The record is from RNAcentral.